This is a long non-coding RNA of Ictalurus punctatus (channel catfish), 1376 nucleotides long. NCBI's taxonomy places the organism in Eukaryota, Metazoa, Chordata, Actinopteri, Siluriformes, Ictaluridae. The record is from Ensembl.
CCGAAAAGACGGAUGUGCGCGGCGAUUGUUACAAUUUACAAAUGUUACAGAGUGCACGCUAGCUCAGAGGCACCAGCAUUGCUAAAGAACACAAUUUUAACACAAACCAUGUAGCGUAUUUCAAUUCCGUGCUAAAGGUUGGCCGGAAAUGUGCUUUUUACAGACGAUUGACUCCUCAGCCCCGCCCUCUUUUUAAAAAUAAAUAAAUAAAUAAAUAAAAAAGUCGGUUGACAAAAUUGAUUUCUGUGAAUUUGCAGAGCAAAGAAAAGCAUCUUUCACGUCUUGCGUCCUUUCAGAGAAUCUGCUUUUCCUUAGUUUUCAGCUGUCUCCAGAUUGAGAGUCAUAUUUGCUAAGGAUAAAUGGCGGAGCCUCUGCUAGCAAAGCGACUUGUCGCACUUGUGGGCGUGGCCUGUUAUUUAAGGUCAAAAUGGUGAUAGCCAGAACUUACUGCCUGCAUUUAUAUUUUAUAUUAAUUUAUAGCGUGAAAAUUGAGACGUUACACGCACUUUAUAGUUACACGUCGCUAGUGUGAACUUUACUGAUUAACAUUGGUCAGUUUCCCGCAGGUAGCACUGGAUUAUGAAACUGAACACGGUCACAUGGUGCAUUUUCAAAACAGCCAAUCAGAGCCUCCCAAUCCAGCUGGUUAUCGUGUAACACGAUUCAGAAUGUAAUCAGCGUUUUACAGAUUUUACUACCUGUUUACGGCUGCUUUCACACUCCGGCUCACGUGACGUGCUCUCUGUAACCAUGGCAACAUGCUUACUAGUCCUAGCUGUAGUAGCUAGUCCAGUAUUGGCUAACUAGCCUGGCUAGCUCCGUGGAAUAUGUUUAUUAUUUGUUAUAUUGGGAAUGUAGAUGAAGUAAAGGUUGGUGUUUUGUCUUAGGUGCAGCUUCAGAAAAUUCAAGCUGCUUUUUUGUGUUUUAUUUUACGUUAUAUUUACACCGCCUCUCAGCGAUGAGACACUUUUUCUCCACCAGUGCUCCACGUCUGAGCCCGAAUCUGCGACCUGAUUGGUUAAGAGUGGAGGAGGAAACACUCCUCACGCCACUCAAAAAGAACGUGCUUCGAAACGUGUGUUUGCGGGUUGAAAGUGUGAAAGCAGCCUGCGGUGUGUGACGAACUACAACUAAAGCGAUUAUUUAAAAAAUGUUUUUGAGAUUAAUAUACGAGAUAGCGCCUUUACAUUUGUUUUUCUUUGGAAAUUAUUAAACUUGAAAUAAAAGUGAUUGCGUGUCCUGUGUCUUUAUUUCCUCUUGUUUUUAUUUGUUUACAUUUUUUUGUCAGUAAAAAUUUGGAAAGGUUUUAUUUGAGAGUGGUUUUUGUUUUGCCGUUAAUGCUGCCAUAUCUUCAGUACUGACAGAACAGAAUCGCA